AGAGUUUGAUCAUGGCUCAGGAUGAACGCUAGCGGCAGGCUUAACACAUGCAAGUCGAGGGGCGAGCGGGGAGGUAGCAAUACUCCGCCGGCGACCGGCGCACGGGGUGCGUAACGCGUAUGCAACCUACCUUUAACAGGGGCAUAACACUGAGAAAUUGGUACUAAUUCCCCAUAACAUUCGAGAAGGCAUCUUCUUGGGUUAAAAACUCCGGUGGUUAAAGAUGGGCAUGCGUUGUAUUAGCUAGUUGGUGAGGUAACGGCUCACCAAGGCAACGAUACAUAGGGGGACUGAGAGGUUAACCCCCCACAUUGGUACUGAGACACGGACCAAACUCCUACGGGAGGCAGCA
This 352-nucleotide ribosomal RNA is filed under the name uncultured bacterium. Its description in RNAcentral is "bacterial SSU rRNA". It matches the Rfam family "Bacterial small subunit ribosomal RNA", at positions 8 to 353 of the family's 1533-position model. The record is from RNAcentral.